This 106-nucleotide ribosomal RNA is filed under the name Castor canadensis (American beaver). The record is from RNAcentral. Lineage: Eukaryota; Metazoa; Chordata; Mammalia; Rodentia; Castoridae.
AUCUAUGUCCAUACCACCCUGAAUGUGCUCAAUCCCAUCUGAUUUUGGAAGCUUAGAGGGCUGGGCCUGGUUAGUAAUUGGAGGAAGAUUCAAGUUAGAUUUGAUU